CUAAUAAUCGAGUUACUGACCUCAAUAACCUUUAGUUUUCAGUUACUGACACCUAAUAAUCACUUAAUUUUCAGUUACUGACACCCAAUAAUCACUUAUUGACCCUUGUUUACCCAUUUUCACCAACCAUUAUUCUUGCACUUGCACAAAAAUUUUACAUUUAAAUAACGAAAAGGAAUGAGGAUUGGCAAAGUUAUAGUUGGAAAAAAAAAAAAAAAAAAAGAAAGAUAAUUAAGCUAAACAUACACAAAGUCCAAAGGAGGGGAGGAUAGCAGCAAGUUGAGGAUCCACUUGCUCGUCCGGCGUAAGCUCUGUGAUCAUCUUUCUCUGUCCGAGGAAACAAAGCCAUCAAAACUAAUCCAAGUGGAGCGGAAUGAACCAACUCAAAGCUACAACACCACCAUUAUUAAACCCACAUAAAUCCACCCUCCUUCUCUUCCUCUCUUUCUCUUUCUCUCCCACCACCACCAUUCCAUGAUCAUAUAUAUCUCUCCCCCAUUAACCCUAAAACCAAGCUUUGUCCAUAAACACCUCAGCUUCAUAGAGCGAGUCGGAUCGGCGCAAAUGCCUUCCUCAUGGAGUCCGUGAUCGGCAACACGGCGAGGACUCGCUUGUUGCAGUUGCGCUCACGAAGGAGGAGCUUGAGGACCCACCGCUAAACCAGAUCCCGGAGGUCGGAGCAAGAGAGACCGGUCGUCGUGGUCCGGUGGUCGUCAUCCAGAUCUUCUUCGUCUGAAUCGAAGCAUCGGCGUCCUCGAUGUCGAGACUUUGUCGCCGUCGGCGUUGAAGAUGAGAGAGAGAGAGAUGGUUAGUUGGAUUCAGAUCGGAUAGGAUAAUAGAGAUGGUUAGUUGAUAUGAAGUAAGGAUAUAUUUGUCUUUUUAAUAAGAAUUAUUGGAAUGGGUUAUGGGAAAAAAAAUUCAUUCAAAUAUGUUUUAGUUUUCAAAUAUUUAAGUAUUAAGGCAUUUUUCUAUAAUAAUUUACUUCUCCUAAUUUGAUCUGGUAAUAGAACACAUAUAACCGUUUUCUUCCACCAAAGGACAGCCGUGGAAGGAAAAUAACCCAAGCAUCGGCAGCUGGAAUAUAUGGCGAUAAAGCAAGUUUUUAUAAGUGUCAUUUCCUUAGUAUGUAAGAUACAUUGGCCGAUAUCCAAGGUCGUCGCUAUUUUUGUGGCUGCUAUAUUGAAGGCCUUGUAGACUUUAUUUGGUGCUUUGGUCAGUCCAUCUAUGAGGCUAGAAACAGAGAUUAACUUAACUUUUUUUCUUUCUCACUUGGUUACAUAUAUUCACAUACAUUAAUUCAAUCAAAAUCUUUGCAGAGAUGUCGGAUAAAUUCACUUGGUUCUGGCUAUAUCACAGCGCAGGGUCGAGAUAGCGCAGACAGCGCUACUGGUUUCGUGUUCAAAGAUUGUUGAUAGGAGCAUAAAAUGCGAUGAUUUUAUAGUUUAACCUUUGCAUUUAACUUAGCUAUUUUCCUUUAAAAAGAUCGUUUUAACUUUGUUAUUUUCUUAGGUACUUCGUGGAGCAAGAUAAUGCAAAUAUGUGUUCAAGUGAUGCAAGCAAGGCUUCCAAUACGAAGUAGAGAUGUCAAGGAUGGAGUUUGAUCAUUCAUAUGGUCAAAAAUAUCAAAGAAAGGCGAUGGAACCACUUCACCAAAACAGAAGCUACAAACACAAAAAGCUGAAAACUGGUUUCUGCUUAUUUUCUCCGGUUUUCAAGGCCUAUUUCCAUGAGGUUCCGAGAAUGGUUC
RNAcentral lists this long non-coding RNA (1747 nucleotides) under Fragaria vesca (wild strawberry). RNAcentral's name for it is "long non-coding RNA (FVES_LNC002770)". The record is from RNAcentral. Lineage: Eukaryota; Viridiplantae; Streptophyta; Magnoliopsida; Rosales; Rosaceae.